GAGCGCCGUAGCAAUACGGAGCGGCAGACGGGAGAGUAACACGUGGGAACGUGCCCUUUGGUUCGGAACAACCCAGGGAAACUUGGGCUAAUACCGGAUAAGCCCUUACGGGGAAAGAUUUAUCGCCGAAGGAUCGGCCCGCGUCUGAUUAGCUAGUUGGUGGGGUAAUGGCCCACCAAGGCGACGAUCAGUAGCUGGUCUGAGAGGAUGAUCAGCCUCACUGGGACUGAGACACGGCCCAGACUCCUACGGGAGGCAGCAGUGGGGAAUAUUGGACAAUGGGCGCAAGCCUGAUCCAGCCAUGCCGCGUGGGUGAUGAAGGCCCUAGGGUUGUAAAGCCCUUUCGGCGGGGAAGAUAAUGAC
Molecule: ribosomal RNA, 363 nt
Filed under: uncultured bacterium
Lineage: Bacteria
Description: bacterial SSU rRNA
Rfam family: Bacterial small subunit ribosomal RNA
Source: RNAcentral